AGGACGAACGCUGGCGGCGUGCCUAACACAUGCAAGUCGAACGGAGAUAUUAAUGAAGCUUGCGAUUUAAUAUCUUAGUGGCGGACGGGUGAGUAACGCGUGGGUAAUCUACCUUUUAGUGGGGAACAACAGUUGGAAACGACUGCUAAUACCGCAUACGUCCCGGAAGGGAGAAAGACGGCCUCUGAAAAUGCUGUCGCUAAGAGAUGAGCCCGCGUCUGAUUAGCUAGUUGGUGGGGUAAAGGCCUACCAAGGCAACGAUCAGUAGCCGGCCUGAGAGGGUGAACGGCCACACUGGGACUGAGACACGGCCCAGACUCCUACGGGAGGCAGCAGUGGGGAAUAUUGGGCAAUGGGCGAAAAAGCCUGACCCAGCGACGCCGCGUGAAGGAUGAAGGUCUUCGGAUUGUAAACUUCUUUGAUCAGGGAAGAAAGAAAUGACGGUACCUGAAAAACAAGCCACGGCUAACUACGUGCCAGCCGCCGC
Molecule: ribosomal RNA, 487 nt
Filed under: uncultured bacterium
Lineage: Bacteria
Description: bacterial SSU rRNA
Rfam family: Bacterial small subunit ribosomal RNA
Source: RNAcentral